RNAcentral lists this ribosomal RNA (746 nucleotides) under uncultured bacterium. Its description in RNAcentral is "bacterial SSU rRNA". It matches the Rfam family "Bacterial small subunit ribosomal RNA", at positions 47 to 794 of the family's 1533-position model. The record is from RNAcentral.
CCUAACACAUGCAAGUGGAGCGUGAAGCUUCUUAUGGAUCCUUCGGGUGAAGUAAGAAGUGGAGAGCGGCGGACGGGUGAGUAACGCGUGGGAAACCUACCCUAUACAGGGGGAUAGCCUCGGGAAACCGGGAUUAAUACCCCAUAAAACCUUAGCGCCGCAUGGUGCAUCGGUCAGAACUCCGGUGGUAUAGGAUGGUCCCGCGUCCCAUUAGCUAGUUGGUGAGGUAACAGCUCACCAAGGCGACGAUGGGUAGCCGGCCUGAGAGGGUGAUCGGCCACACUGGAACUGAGACACGGUCCAGACUCCUACGGGAGGCAGCAGUGGGGAAUAUUGCACAAUGGGCGAAAGCCUGAUGCAGCGAUGCCGCGUGAGCGAUGAAGGCCUUCGGGUCGUAAAGCUCUGUCCUAUGGGAAGAAUUUUGACGGUACCAUAGGAGGAAGCCCCGGCUAACUACGUGCCAGCAGCCGCGGUAAUACGUAGGGGGCGAGCGUUGUCCGGAAUCACUGGGCGUAAAGAGUUCGUAGGCGGCCUUUCAAGUCAGAUGUUAAAGGCAUUGGCUCAACCAAUGUAAGCAUUUGAAACUGUUAGGCUUGAGUGCAGGAGAGGAGAGUGGAAUUCCUAGUGUAGCGGUGAAAUGCGUAGAUAUUAGGAGGAACACCAGUGGCGAAGGCGACUCUCUGGACUGUUACUGACGCUGAGGAACGAAAGCGUGGGGAGCGAACAGGAUUAGAUACCCUGGUAGU